RNAcentral lists this ribosomal RNA (443 nucleotides) under uncultured bacterium. RNAcentral's name for it is "partial 16S ribosomal RNA". It matches the Rfam family "Bacterial small subunit ribosomal RNA", at positions 338 to 795 of the family's 1533-position model. The record is from RNAcentral.
CCUACGGGAGGCUGCAGUGGGGGAUAUUGGACAAUGGGGGAAACCCUGAUCCAGCGACGCCGCGUGAGUGAAGAAGUAUUUCUGUAUGUAAAGCUCUGUCAGCAGGGAAGAAAGAAAUGACGGUACCUGACCAAGAAGCCCCGGCUAACUACGUGCCAGCAGCCCCGGUAAUACGUAGGGGGCAAGCGUUAUCCGGAAUUACUGGGUGUAAAGGAAGCGUAGACGGUGAUGCAAGUCUAGAGUGAAAGGCGGUGGCCCAACCCCCGGACUGCUCUGGAAACUGUGUAACUUGAGUGCAGGAGAGGUAAGCGGAAUGCCUAGUGUAGCGGUGAAAUGCGUAGAUAUUAGGAGGAACACCAGUGGCGAAGGCGGCUUACUGGACUGUAACUGACGUUGAGGCUCGAAAGCGUGGGGAGCAAACAGGAUUAGAUACCCCGGUAGUC